GGGUUGUGAGGUUAAGCGACUAAGCGUACACGGUGGAUGCCCUGGCAGUCAGAGGCGAUGAAGGACGUGCUAAUCUGCGAUAAGCGUCGGUGAGGUGAUAUGAACCGUUAUAACCGGCGAUUUCCGAAUGGGGAAACCCAGUGUGUUUCGACACACUAUCAUUAACUGAAUCCAUAGGUUAAUGAGGCGAACCGGGGGAACUGAAACAUCUAAGUACCCCGAGGAAAAGAAAUCAACCGAGAUUCCCCCAGUAGCGGCGAGCGNCCCUGGCAGUCAGAGGCGAUGAAGGACGUGCUAAUCUGCGAUAAGCGUCGGUGAGGUGAUAUGAACCGUUAUAACCGGCGAUUUCCGAAUGGGGAAACCCAGUGUGWUUCGWCACACUAUCAUUAACUGAAUCCAUAGGUUAAUGAGGCGAACCGGGGGAACUGAAACAUCUAAGUACCCCGAGGAAAAGAAAUCAACCGAGAUUCCCCCAGUAGCGGCGAGCGAACGGGGAGGAGCCCAGAGCCUGAAUCAGUGUGUGUGUUAGUGGAAGCGUCUGGAAAGGCGCGCGAUACAGGGUGACAGCCCCGUACACAAAAAUGCACAYAUUGUGAGCUCGAUGAGUAGGGCGGGACACGUGGUAUCCUGUCUGAAUAUGGGGGGACCAUCCUCCAAGGCUAAAUACUCCUGACUGACCGAUAGUGAACCAGUACCGUGAGGGAAAGGCGAAAAGAACCCCGGCGAGGGGAGUGAAAAAGAACCUGAAACCGUGUACGUACAAGCAGUGGGAGCCUCUUAAUGGGGUGACUGCGUACCUUUUGUAUAAUGGGUCAGCGACUUAUAUUCUGUAGCAAGGUUAACCGAAUAGGGGAGCCGAAGGGAAACCGAGUCUUAACUGGGC
This 883-nucleotide ribosomal RNA is filed under the name Escherichia coli. Its description in RNAcentral is "partial 23S ribosomal RNA". The record is from RNAcentral. Lineage: Bacteria; Pseudomonadati; Pseudomonadota; Gammaproteobacteria; Enterobacterales; Enterobacteriaceae.